RNAcentral lists this ribosomal RNA (306 nucleotides) under uncultured bacterium. RNAcentral's name for it is "bacterial SSU rRNA". It matches the Rfam family "Bacterial small subunit ribosomal RNA", at positions 794 to 1106 of the family's 1533-position model. The record is from RNAcentral.
UCCACGCCGUAAACGAUGAUAACUCGUUGUUGGCGAUACACAGUCAGCGACUAAGCGAAAGCGAUAAGUUAUCCACCUGGGGAGUACGAUCGCAAGGUUGAAACUCAAAGGAAUUGACGGGGGCCCGCACAAGCGGUGGAGCAUGUGGUUUAAUUCGAUGAUACGCGAGGAACCUUACCUGGGCUCAAAUGCAGAGUGACAGUCCCUGAAAGGGGAUUUUCUUCGGACAGUCUGCAAGGUGCUGCAUGGUUGUCGUCAGCUCGUGCCGUGAGGUGUCGGGUUAAUCCCAUAACGAGCGCCAACCCC